Non-coding RNA from Xyrichtys novacula (pearly razorfish), 12597 nucleotides. Lineage: Eukaryota; Metazoa; Chordata; Actinopteri; Labriformes; Labridae. The record is from the annotation of a GenBank genome assembly.
GAAACUUGAUAAUUGUUAUUUUGCACAUUUUGCCAAAAAAUAAAUACUUUAAUGGUGACCGUCUCACAUGUAUGCCUUAAAUACAAAACUGAUCAAACUGAUCAUGACAUGCCAUGGGGUCAUUAACUGAUGUAUGGUUGAAGCAUUCCAUUGUUUUUGUUAUUACUGUAGGAAAAAUAUGAGUUGUUAUUACAAUCAUGUUCCAGUAAGUGUAAUGCAGUAGCCCAUUGCUUGUGUUUGUAUAGUGUGUAAUAGGUAUAACUGUGCUAAAAAGCUGUUAUCUAUGUUUUUGACCUCCCAAAAACCCAUUUUUUUUUCGAUUGCGGGGAAGUGUCCCUUAUUUGAAUCUCUGGAAGUUGGCAACUCUAGUGAAACACUGCUAAAGUCCUGCUAUAGUCUAGCCAUAGAUACUGUUGGUCUUGCAUAUUUGCAAAAAAUAAAAUGUGUAUAUGUAAUUGUAUAUGCAAACACAUGUGCAUGGAGCACAGUGUUUCACAUGUGGCAUGCAUGAAGCAAUCAUGUCUGCUUUUCGUGAUGAUUCAUUAGUGUAUGAACACUGCUCCUGGUAACAUAAGGCUUUUUUAAUUAAAUUAAAUGUACCAAAUUCCUGAGAUUUAUAAUAUGUAUUAUCUGGAAAGAUAUCUUUGCAUAAGAAUCAAAGUCUGCUAAACAUUCACACUUGCUAAAUGUGUAUCAAGUUACAGCCACACAAUUAUUGUCAUACAGAUCAAGGAAGAGUUCCGAAGGUGCACUGCCAUUGUACCAGAACUGAUGUCUAUUGCCCAGCCGGACAGAAUGACCACAAAAAUCCGGGAGCUGUUUAGCGCCAAGUGAGAAGCAGUAGAGGAGCCCAUAAAGAGCUUGUCGAUGGACCUGAUACAGGUGUGGAAAUGUGGUUUUUAAAUGUACAAGAACAGAUAAACAUAUUAAUAUGCUAUACUGUAAGUAGGCUGUAUUACAUUGCCUGAGUCAGCAGUAAGGAAUAAGUAACAGUUAGUUUUAGACUUUUUAAGUGCUCUUUAGAUGCAUCACAUUGUAAGAUUGAUUUAAAAAAAAAAGUUGUGGUCCCCACCAAAUGUAUUUUUUAUUUGAGAUAAAGCCUGUUGUAUUUCAUCAGGAAGCUUGCAAUUUGCCUUUAAAAGUACAGUCAGGUCAAGUUCAUAUGUACUUGACUCUUCCUCAGAAAAAGUUUAUAGAAAAUCCACAAUCCGCAUCGGUGACGUAUGCUGAUACGCCGCCGGUCUGCCAAAAUACCUCUAGACCAGCUGCGCUCCGCCUGCACUAAAAGCUGACCAGGUUUGAAUCAGCGAGCUUUCAGCACAUUUUAUACACCACCGGCAACACGAAAAUGUUACUGUGGUAGUUGAUUCCGUCGACAACUCCCUCUGCCAUGCCACCACGCCAAGCUUGGUGGACCUCGGUGCACCUCAGUCCACGAAAAAACCCAACCGGCUGUACACUGGGCUCCGCCAGAUGAAAAUACCACUGCACAGGGUUCGCCACCCUCCGCCGCGUCACUGGCGGACACGAAAAUAGAAGCCCUAAAAGUUUUUUUUUUUUUUUGAAACUUUUUAUUUAUUUGCUUUUUUCUUUUACAUAAACGGCAAAGGUAAAUAGAAAUAAAUAAAUAAAAAAAACUAGAAAAUAAAAUAAAAAGUGGAAGUGGGGCACACCGCUCUUGAUGCAGCCUUAUUCACGGUCUAUUAGGUCUGUAGAACAUUAGACCCUUCUUUUUUCAUAUAUACAGUCCAUUUGUGCCACUGUCAAUCCAAGAGCUCUGCUUUCAUUCUGAGGUAGUAAGUCAGUCGUUCCAUCGAGUAAAUCUCCUCAACAAUGCCCAACCACUGUCCUAGGCUUGGAGAGUCAUUUUUCAGCCAGUUUCUUGUUAUGGCCUUUCUACAUGCCAAGAUCAGUAUUUUGAAAAGAUACAUGUCCUUCUUUUGGAUGGUUCCUUGUGGGGCCAGACCCAGGUACAGUAUCCAGGGGUCCCUGGGUAUCUUAUAGGAAAAGACUUCUUCCAGAAUCUGAGUCACUCUUUCCCAGAACCCCAUGCAAUUUUACACACAACCAGAAAAUAUGAGUGUGAUUAGCAUCCAUCUGCCCGCAGCCCCUCCAGCAUUGUUGUUGUUCACCUAAUUGUUUAUGUUUUAUGUGUGGUGUGAUAAAAAAGCGGAUUAAGUUCUUCCAGCCAAACUCUCUCCAUCUUUUGGAGCUCGUAGAAGUCUGCUGGGUUCUACAGAUAGAAUGCCAAUCAACCUCGGACAGUUCAGUGUUCAAUUCCAGCUCCAAUUUUGAUUUCACAUACAAUGUGUUUUUACCAUUUUGUUUUUGUAGGCCUCUAUACAGCUUAGAGACAAUCUUUACAGGUGUACAUUUAUAUGCUUUAGUGAAUAUUUCAAUCACUGCGUUUCCUUCUUCAGAGAUUCCUUUUUUAAUUUCUGUCUCGUUAAAAUGUCUUAGCUAUAAGUAUCUGAACAGGUCACCGUUGUCCAAAUCAAAUUCACCUUUGAGUUUUUCAAAAGAUUUGAAAGUUUUUCCCUCUAGGAGUGUACACAGCUGUACACUCGCUGUAAUCCCCUUAUCACUCCACCUUGCGAAUGUGCUGUCAGUCUCUCCGGGGCUAAACUGGGAUGUUCGAGAAGGCCAAAUUAAAAGUUUACUGUCCCCUUCUAAUUUAUAUUUUUUAACUACCUCAAACCAAUUGUUUAAUGCAUUUUCCAGGAUUAAGCUUUCUUCCCUAUGGUCUGUGUGUUCUUUCACACCUAACCUGGUUUGUGGUUGAGGAUCAUCCAUGUUCAAUUCAAUGUGUUUCCACUUAGCCUGGUACUCCGGAGAGCACCAGUAAACAAGAUAUCUCAUCUGGGCGGCAUAAUAGUAUUCCUUUAGAUUUGGUACUGCAAGACCUCCAUGUUCUCUGUCAAUCUGAAGUGUUCUGAAUCUUACCCUUGGUCUCGCUCCAGCCCAUAUAAACCUUGAUAACUGUUUGUCCCACAUUGAAAACUGUGAAUCUGGGAUUCUCACAGGUAGAGACAAAAAAAGGUACAGCAACCUUGUCAGCACGUUCAUUUUCACUGCCUCAAUCCUUGAAGUAAAAUCUAACCCCAGUGUGGACCAUUUCUUAAUAUCCUCCUGUAUCUUGUCAUUUAUGAUUUUGUGGUUUAUUUCAUGUAGUUUACCAAGAUUUUGACUAAUAAACACUCCCAAGUAUUUUAUGGAUUUUGCUUACCACUUAACUUUAUACUUCAGCCUAAUAUCCUUACUCGGAGUGUAAUUAAAAGAGAGAAUUUGUGUCUUGGCUAUAUUCAGUUUAUAACCUGACAUUUCACCAUACUCAUCUAAAGACUCCAUGAGUUUAGGCAGCGUUAAGUUAGGGUUCUGCAGGUAGAUAAUAAUGUCAUCCGCAAAGAGUCCUAUUACAUGGUCCUCGUUUGCUAUGUUGAUUCCUCUCAACUCUUUAUUUUGUCUGAUACUCUGUGCUAGGGGCUCGAUGAAGAUCGCGAAGAGUGUGGGGCUAAGACAGCAACCCUGGCGAGUGCCUCUGUAUAGCUUAAAGCUGCCUGACAGAUGGCCGUUGAUUUUUAUUCUAGCCGUAGGAUUUCUGUAAAGAGCCUGUAUGCAUCUGACAAAUUGACAACUAAAGCCCAGCCUCUCUAGCACCCGAUACAAAAAGGGCCAACAGACCCUAUCAAAGGCCUUUUCUGCAUCUAAACUGGCCAGAACUGCAUUUAGAUGUUUUUUUAUUAAUCUGUUCUAUGAUAUGUAAAGUUCGUCUGGUGUUGUUUUGAGUUUGACGGCCUCUUAUAAACCCUGUCUGAUCCUCGUUGAUAAAGUCAGGCAAGAGAUGUUCAAUUCUUUUCGAGAUAAUAGAUGUAAACAACUUGUAAUCUACAUUUAGUAUAGAGAUUGGACGGUAUGAACCGCAAUUUUCUUUAUUUUUCCCAUCUUUUGGAAUGACUGAUAUAACAGCCUCUUUCCAUAAUGGUGGUGCAACCGCUUUUGUAAGAGUCCAGUUAAAUGAUUGUAACAUAAUAGGAGCGAGGUCUUCCUUAAAAAUCUUAUACCAUUCGUUUGGAAAGCCAUCACUUCCAGGGCAUUUGUUUGCUUUCAGUUUAUUGAUAGCCCUGUCCAGUUCUGGCUUUGCAAUGGGAGCAAUUAAACUAUAAUAUUGAGAUUUCCCUAUGGAGGGAAGAUCUACUGAUGACAAAUACUGUAUAAUAUUUUCGUCGUCUACAGUCUUGGGCUGCGAGUAUAGAACUUCAUAAUAAUUUUGGAAUAUUUUGUGGAUAACAUCCGGCUCAUAGGUUAUUUUAUUAGUUGUAGGGUCUCUAAUUUUCUGUAAUGUAUUUUUAAUUUGUUGAGCCCUAAGACGUUUGGCUAGAAUUUUUGUCGCUUUGGAGCCUGAUUCGUAGAAGCUUUGUUUAAUAAAUCUCAGUUUCUUUUCCAAUUCUUCGUUCAGAAUGUUAUUUACUUGAUCUUUUAUUUUUCUUAAUUUGGUUUUUCAGCUCUUGGUCCCAUUCUUUUGAUUGUUGCUUCUCUAAUUCUCUCAGUGUUUUCUCUAGUUCAUCAUAAUUUGACCUCUUCACCUUUUUUUGAAAAGCUGUUCUUGAAAUGAGUUUCCCCCUCAUUACUGCUUUAACUGUGUCCCAUACAAUGGUUGGGUCCACUUCACCAGUCAUAUUAUCUUUUAUGCAUUCCAUAAUUUCUCCUUUAAUCUCCUUAACAAUGGCUUCCUUGUUUAGGACACUGAUAUUUAAUCUCCACAAUGUACACUUCUGUCUGUCAUUUAGAUGUAUAGUCAAAUAGAUUGCAUUAUGGUCCGAUAGAUCCGCUGUUCCUAUGGAACAUUCCUUCACCCUGUGCCUAUCAGUAACAUUCAUCAAAAAGAAGUCUAUUCUGGAAUGAACAUGAUGAGUACCUGAGUAAUGAGUAUAAUCUUUUUCAGAUGAAUGAAGGUUCCUCCAGACAUCAAACAUACCUGUUUCUCGAAUUAGCAAGUUAAGAUCCCUUGACUUAAGACAUUUAGAUCUCUUUAUACUUGUUGUGUCUAUGGAGUGGUUCAAGACUGUGUUCCAGUCCCCUGCACAGACUAGUAUCCCCUCACUUUCAGAGGAUAAUAUGUGAAAUAGAGACUUAAAGAAUUUUCUAUUGCUCUCUGGGGGGGCAUAUAUAUUAGCAAAUGUGACAGUAGUGUAAUCAAUCCUUCCUUUAACAAUUAUAUAUCUACCCUUCCCAUCACUCUUUUCCUUAAUUAGUUCAAAAUUAAGAUUGUUGGAUAUCAGAGUAGCAACACCUCUUUUACGGCUGUACUCGCAUGAACUAAAAAAUUAGUUUAAAUAUCCAAACUUUUUCAACUUCUCAUGUUUCAAAUAUAAUUUGAACCUUAUCCUUUUUCAUUUAUCCACAUUUCAGACUGUGUGACCCAAUCAUAUAUUUUCUUUAAAGCAAGCAAGCAAGUGCCACCACAAAAGAAACUCUUGAGAAUGAACUGCAUGAUGAGGGGGUGUCUCCCUCCCCCUCAUUUGCGACCCUGUUGGUGGGUCGAGGGAGCAACCUCUCACUCCGAGAGGGCCCAGUGUUCAGGGUGGCUAAUGAGUCCAAAACUGUCUCUACCAUCCUAUUAGUCCAACUUUUACAUUAUAGAAAACGAAGUCGCCUCUCCCAGGCGCGGAUGCUCUGUGUAGAGCUUAGAAAAAAAGGGGAAAAGAACCACUCACGUGUCAGUCUCGAGUUUAAAGUUUUCAUACGGGUAAUGCAGGUUAAUUCCGUGAUUAUGAAUCCUCUGUGUGUCCUCUCUGAAACUCGCAGAGUUUUUCCCUCGCCCUCCGGGCCGCGGCAGACCCCUUCUCCCGACGCCCGGCUGCCUGCUGCCAUCCCAUUAGCUCCAGAAGCCAUGUCUCCGCGGGGCUCUCUCCCUCAGUUGGCUCCAGUUCUUCCACGGGGAAGCCGCACUUCCUCAGCUCUCUCUGUGCCUCCUGCACGGUGUUGUACGUGCGGACUCCCGUGGCCCAGUGGAUCUGCAUGCUUGUGUGUGGUGUCUGGAAGCGAAUACCCUUUUCCUUUAGGGCUUUUUUAAUCGCGUUAUAUUCCUUGCGCUUUUUAACUAUCUCCGGUGCGUAAUCAUGAUCGAAGUAGACAAAUCUUUCACCCACUUGUAUUUUCUUCUUUUUCCAGGCUUCUCUCAAUAUCAGCUCCUUUGUGGUAAACUCCAAGAAGUUAACAACGAUAGGUCUCGGGGGAGCAUCGGGUCGGGAUCUGGGCGCCAGAUCCAUGUUUUGAGAUGCUGGUAGCUCACUUCGGUCCAUCCUUCCACCUGCUCCACCCGGGACUCUGGCUCGUCAACGUGGUCAGACAGGCUCUGCACUGCCGUUGUCAGGCUGUCGAGUUUCCCGUUGAUUUCUUGCCUUAGUUGAGUGAGUUCCUGUUUCACACAACUGAUGUGCCCCUGCAUAUCAGUUUUUAGCGCAUUAAUCGCUCUGAUAACUUCUCCGGAGUCAGUGUCUGUUGAGGGAUUUUUCUGGCUUGCCGCUGCUGCACUACGGGUUAGAGGAGAAGUUAGCCCAGUGUUGUUAGCAUUUGGCGACGAGUUGUUUUUUUCUUGCGCUUCUGGCAUUUUUCUUUUUUCCUCAGUCUUUUGUGGUUCUUCUCCCAUUUAUCGUGUCUGUACUCAAAUAAUUAUGAGUUUUUCGAGUUGCUAGGCGAGUAAUUUUUACUAGGCCUGGGAGGGUGACUCCGCCGUGCGUCUUACUCCGCCAUCAGCAAACCGGAAGUCCAGCAAGCCCUAAAAGUUUUAAGAGUUUGUGCUCUACCCUACUGCUUAUUUAAAGUGUCUUGCACAGUAUACAGUUAAUAAGGAAACCAGAUAUAGUAACUUCGCAUAUUUGCUGAAAAAAAACAAGAAUAUAGAAACCUUCUACUUCAUAGGCACAUUAUUAAUAUUUAUUAAGUAAUUUUUAUGUAAGCAGAACUGGAAAACUGGAAAAAAAAAAAAAGAAUUAAAAAAAAUUAAAAAAGGAAUGAAUUGGCUAAUACUAUUAAAAAUUGAGUAAAUCCAGUCACUUUUUUUUUGUUUUCAUUUGAAAUAUUUAUUUAAUUAGGUCUGUAGUAACUUCUUUGCUGUCUUCUUUUAUAUUUGUCAAACUUAAUUUCUAAACCAUUUUUUUGUAAGUUCUACUUUAUUUUGUUAGGUAGAAUUAGAGUAGCAUCAAGUUGAGUCAACUUAAUCAUAUUGGGCUCUAUUUUCGUGCCUCCCUGGCAACGCAUCGCAUCAGCAGCGUAAGUCAGGUCUGCCGCACCGACAAGGCGUUCCCAAGCACAAUUUUGUAUUUUGGUGAGUGGCGCAGCCCGGCGUAAGUAUCCCCCUCCCUAACUCAGCUCCUCCCAGCGGCGUAAGUCGUAGGGGGGGAGGAUAGAGGGCGUGGAGUGGGUUUAAAACAGCCGACACCUGUUUUCACCAAUCACAUAAGCUCCUCUCCUCACCUUUAAAUCCACCACCGGUGAGGCGUAUUCCAAUUUUCGUGAAGUAGUCAAAGAGAUCAAGAGAUGGCUGAAGACAGCAAUGCCACACAAUGGCUACAGAAGGCAGCCCCUAAACAAGUGUCCCUGUAAACGCACUCCACACUCUCUCAUACGAGCACAGAUGGAUUUGGUGUGUGUAAUGUUGGACCAACUAGUAAGACAAACAACCUUUCCACAAAUAAAGACACUCACAUAAAGUUGCACAUAUUCAAACCUCACAUGACAAAGGUAGGUUGUGCGCAGAGAUCACAUCAUAAAUUCCAAUAAUGGCAUUAAAAUUGGAACCAUCUGUGCGUAAAUGUGGCAUCGCGCUCCGUGGCCUGGCUCUUUCUUUCAUAGAUGUUGGCAUUAAAUUAAAUUGGGCUCACAAAACUGAAUAUUAUAAUAUUCGUAUGUAGGCUUAAAGUAAAUAACUCAUCUGAUCACUGAAACAAAUCAUCUGUUCAGCUGCCGCAGCUGCAGCAGGACAGGGAGAGGACAUGGAGACAUGUCCAGGUUGAGCUGUGCGAGAAAUAAGAGGAAGAGGAAGAAAGAAAAGGAGGGAGACGAAUUACAUAUCUCGUUAACUUCAUCAUGUGUGUCUAUUUACUAGAUAUUUAAUUUAAUUCAAUGCAGUUUCAGCUGUGUUGAUUCAGUCAGGUUGUGUGUCCAAACCCGUGCCAAAUGUGCUCAUCAGAUCAGAUACAGAUCAGAAUAUAUCUAUAUAGAUCUAAAUGUAUGUGCUGACCCAGAUUAUUAGUUGUUGUUGAUUAUAUAUUGCACUGAAAUGUGCCUGACACCGUGGAAACCUGCUGGUAAGGCAUCUUAGAUGUAUGGCGAUACGCCGCCGGUCUACCAAAAUACCUCUAGACCAGGGGCCUCAUGUAUCAACACUUGCGUGGGACUCAUACCAGGGAGUGCACGCAAGGUCCGUCACGCUGAAAAAAAUUCGUAUGUAUCAAGGUGUUCGGGCGCGGAAAGCCACGUGUGUUUCCUUGAUAAAUCCCAAUCAGCUUGGAAUUGAGCGCAGAUGUCGGAGUGACCGGGCCCGCCCCCGUUACGCCCUCCUAUAAAUAUGCAGAUUUAUUUAAAUAGGGUAUUAUAGGGUAAGUGGCGUGUCACACAAAUGUCCACAUGCUUUGCCAUCCCACUGAGCAAAAGACGUAUAUUAGACAUCUAGUCUAAGUUUAUACUUCAUUUCAACGUCGGGAUUCAGUCUAUUUUUGGACGUGAUUUAUACUUCGCCCUUAACUUCAUUUUUCGAUAACUUUUUAUGCAAUAAACAACUCUGAUGUGCACAACUGACCUCUAAAUACUGGAUUACAUUACCUAUGAUACCGUGGAGAGAGAUGUAAACGCAACAGAUACACAGAAGCAGGAAUUGAAAUGAACCGAUAUUUUUAUUGUGUCACAGAAAUCAAUGUGUCGGCCGUGUCGCCGGCUUGCGGAACCCCGGCCCGCGGCAGCCCGUCCGCCGGCUCGUCGGAAUAAAUUAAUUUGUCUCAUUGAACUGUGUAUUCACUUCUUACCCAUUCACACUGUGGCAAGUUAGCAAGUUAAUGUAAUAAUAAAUGUAAAUCUAGAGAGCUGAACUGGCAGUGUGCUCUAUGCCUAGAUGGUUAUGCUGCCUGUGCUGACUAACAAGCCUACACCUUCCUCUGCAUUUGCUAUGUGGUUCACAGUGGAUAACGGGAUCUUUGCCCUGCUCUGCUACCUAAUUAUUUGUGGCCCCAGUUACAAGUUCAGGAAAAUAAACAACAGGCCUAUCCUUACCUCCAGAGUAAAAUUGUAAAUUGAUUUACUCAUUGCAUUAGUCUUACAUACAUAGUUGGAUUUCAGAUUGGAACGCAAAUAUGUUUACAGUUAUAAUAUGGUAGGUUAUUUAGUAACAUAAAGAAAAGGACCAUAAUAGUAUGAAUGACCAGGGGCCUAAUGUAUCAACACUUGCGUGGGACUCAUACCGGAAACGAGCGCACACAAGGUCCGUCACGCUGAAAAAAAUUCGUAUGUAUCAAGGUGUGCGGGCGCUGAAGGCCACUUGUGUUUCCUUGAUAAAUCCCAAUCAGCUUGGAAUUGAGCGCAGAUGUCGGAGGGACCGGGCCCGCCCCCGUUACGCCCACCUAUAAAUAUGCAGAUUUUUUUAAAGAGGGUCUCCCUGUCCUCGCACGCAGAAAAAAUGACAAGAAAAACUAAAUUUACGGCGUGCGAGGUGGAGGUGCUGGUGGCGGAGGUGGAGGAGCGACAGCAUGUUUUGUUUGGCAGCCUGUCCAGUGGCGUCAGUGCAAAACGAAAACGCUUGGAGUGGGAGAAAGUUUGCAAGAGGGUGAACGCGGUGGGUUUCCGAGACACGCCCCCCCGCGGAGAUUUUAAAAAAAGUGGUCGGACCUCAAGGUGGAGGUCAAGCGGCGUACAGCUGCCCUCUGGAGGAGUACCGGCCAGACAGGUGGGGUCCGGGGGAGGAGACCCUCACGCCGUUUGAGCAGCGGGUGGUGGCGAUUAUGGGGGGCGCCUCUGUGGGGGGGAUUGUCGCCGCUACCCUCGGCGACUCAGACAGCCUGCCGGAGGGUAAGUGGCGUGUCACACAAAUGUCCACAUGAUUUGCCAUAGAUGUAAAUGCAACAGAUACACAGAAGCAGGAAUUGAAAUAAACCAAUAUUUUUAUUGCGUUAUAGAUAUCAAUGUGUCGGCCGUGUCGCCGGCUUGCGGAACCCCGGCCCACGGUAGCCUGUCCGCUGGCUCGUCGGCCAGGACCAGCGGCAUUCGGGCCAACCCGGCCCCCGGCCCCAGCACCAGCACCAGCGCGCCGACAAGUGGUGGAGCGUCCACCAGCCGCGGCGCUUCCGUUGGACGACCCGGACGCAGUGGAAGGGUCCUCACGGAGGCGGUCCUGCAAUCGCAGGAAGAAAUCAUCAGGGGGAUCGCGGGAAUCAACGAGCGGCUGGACCAGCUCGUAAAUGUUCUCGAGCAUCUGGUGGAGAAAAUAAAUUAAUUUGGCUCAUUGAACUGUGUAUUCACUUCUUACCCAUUCACAUUGUGGUGAUGAGAUUCUCCCACACGAGGACGGCGGCCCGGCAGGGAUCAGCUCGCAUCCCUCCGUCUGCUGCUGGUUCGUCAUGUGGGGCGACGUGCUGCUCGGCCACGGGGAUGUGGUGCACACUUGUCACAUAGUGAGUCACCAAACACCGCCACACAGCGUCGCCAAAGUGCCGUCAACGCAAGUAUCGGCUCAACACCAACUUCUACACCACCUCCUCACUUUGCGUGGAUUUGUGCUGGAACCGACGCUCGUGUCGCGAUGAUAAAUCUGGAUGUGUGCGCCGAUCUUGGCGAACGCAAGGUUUUCUGGCGCCGCCAGCGUUGAUACAUGAGGCCCCGGGUUUCACACCAAUUUCGUACCUUCCACUGACUAAUAUUACUUGCUUGAUUCAAAUAACAUGUCCUUUGACACAUGACAGGGAAGUUACAAAAAAAUUGCUAACUCAAUGUAAUGUUAUUUUGUUUACCUAGAUUCUGUAAUGUAGCUAGCUAGUAUAGUCAUGGAAAGCUCACAUCAGCUUGCAUCAGUCGAUGUUAUCUUUAGCCUCUCAAGUCCAAACGUCCAAAUUGUCCAAUUAGAUGCAACUGUCAUAUGCCCUUAGGCCAGCUCAAAGCACUCUGGCCAGCACAAACCCAUUAGGAAGAAUUACUCUCCUCUGCAUUUGUGCAAAUAUUUCAAUGCUGUAACACUAAUAGGGGAAUGGCUUGUUAAAUUCAAGGCUCCCUUCAGGUGAGCACACACAUUUGCAGCUCACUAUGGCUCCGUGCUGCUCUAGUGUAUAAAACGAAAGGCCUAAUAAAACUCCUGGUUUAGCUCCUUGUCCCAUCCAUACCCCCCCACUGAAAAUACUCUUUCACCUGACAUACACAAUUCAGGUAGGUCACCUAUUUCGGAUUCAAAAUGGUGAAUUUUGCCAAAAGGUGAGUGAUUUUUUACCUCCGCCCUCUUGGUCACAUUUUCUGUAAACUUAAUAUCAAUUUUCAUUGUUGUGCAAAUGACUGGGUAUCUCUACAAAACCCACCCCCACCAUACCGCCUUCCUCCAUCUGUGACUGUCUACAGGAAAUCAAAUCAUGGUUCGCAUCCAACUCUCUGAAACUUAACAGUGAUAAAACUGAGGUUCUCCUCAUUGGCACCAGAUCCAGAUCAUUGAAUUUCCAUUCGGGGAUAAAUAAAGUUAUUCUUAUUCGUAUUCUUAUUCUUACCCUCAGUAACACUCCCAACUUCACCAUCCCCUUCCACAACUCCUUUGUUUCCCCCUCCCUUCAGGUCAAGUGUCUGGGUGUUGUCCUGGACAGCACUCUGUCAUUCCAAACUCACUCAUUAAUUGCAUAACCUGGUCAGCCAUCUUCCAUCUUCAAAACAUCAAUCGCCUCCGUUCAUCACUCACCCCCAACAGCACCGUCAUCCUCGUCUAUACUCUUGUUACAAACCCCCCAGGGUUAUUGCAAAUUUCUUCUCAUUGGUCUCCCCCAUAAAUCAAUCCAUAUGCUUUAACUGGUCCAGAAUGCUGCCACCUGUAUCACCAGAACACCAUCUGUCAAUCUCAUCACACCUGCUCUCCGCCAACUUCACUAGCUUCCCAUAAAAUACCACUUGGACUACAAAAUUCUGCUCCACACAUACAAGGUCAUCCACAACCUUGCUUCUCGAUACCUCUCUGAACUCCUUGUAAGAAUCAGUGCUUUAGUUGACUGCUCAAGGACAACCAGAGAAGUCUUCAGGUUUCACAUAAACCUUUUAUUAUGUUCACAGGUAGAGUAAUACAGCGCUGGACUCGCAAUGACAGAGCCCCCAGGAUCUCCAUCUCCAUCACCAUGGGAUCCAGAACCUUCAGCCACUCUGCCUCCCACCUUUGAAGCUCCCUCCUCCCUGACAUUAGGAACAUUGACUCACUGUCCAUUUUCAAAUCCUGUGUGAAGACACAUUAUUUUAGACAGGCCUACUCAGACUGAGAAUUAAUAUUCUGCCGCAGAGUCCAGGCUUACUUAUGACUUACAACUUUUUUAUUUAAAACUUUUAUUGUGUUGAUGUGUAUUUUAUUUACUGUACUAUUUUAUUGAUGAG